AUGAACGCUGGCGGCGUGUCUUAGGCAUGCAAGUCAAGGGGGCGUAGCAAUACGCAACCGGCAGACGGGUGAGUACGACAGUGGUAACCUACCUCGAAGUCUUGAACAACCUUGCGAAAGCGAGGCUAAUACAAGAUGGUCAAGGGGGGACGAAAGUCAUUCCCUUGUAAAGAAUUUCGCUUCGAGAGGGGCCUUUGGCCUAUCAGCUAGUUGGUGAGGUAAUAGCUCACCAAGGCUAUGACGGGUAGCGGGUGUGAGAGCAUGACCCGCCUCAGUGGCACUGAAACACUGGCCACACUCCUACGGGAGGCUGCAGUCGAGAAUUUUCCGCAAUGCACGAAAGUGUGACGGAGCGACGCCGCGUGCAGGAAGACGCUUUUCGGAGUGUAAACUGCUUUUCUCUGGGAAAAACUUGCGAUGGUACCAGAGGAAUAAGAGGCUGCUAACUGCGU
RNAcentral lists this ribosomal RNA (452 nucleotides) under uncultured bacterium. RNAcentral describes it as "bacterial SSU rRNA". It matches the Rfam family "Bacterial small subunit ribosomal RNA", at positions 29 to 506 of the family's 1533-position model. The record is from RNAcentral.